Unclassified non-coding RNA from Cricetulus griseus (Chinese hamster), 300 nucleotides. It matches the Rfam family "Metazoan signal recognition particle RNA". Rfam says of the family: The signal recognition particle (SRP) is a universally conserved ribonucleoprotein. The record is from Ensembl. NCBI's taxonomy places the organism in Eukaryota, Metazoa, Chordata, Mammalia, Rodentia, Cricetidae.
GCUGGGCACGGUGGCGCACGCCUGUAGUGCCAGCUACUCGGGAGGCUGAGACAGGAGGAUCACUUGAGUCCAGGAGUUCUGGGCUGUAGUGCGCUAUGCCAAUCGGGUGUCCGCACUAAUUUUGGCAUCAAUAUGGUGACCUCCCGGGAGCGGGGAGCCACCAGGUUGCCUACGGAGGGGUGAACCGGCCCAGGUCAAAAACGGAGCAGGUCAAAACUCCCGUGCUGAUCAGAUAUGCAUGUAGGAAAAGCACCAAUACACAUAAAAUAAUAAAGGCAUUUAAAAAAUAGAUGUUACCUU